AGCACAAAAUAGAAGGGGGUGAAUGAGGAGGCAAUGGUUGACAGCAACCAUGGGAGGAGGUCGGGGCGUCGAAGAGUAUUGAGUUGGCGAAUCCAGCGAGAUGUGGUUCAAGCAAAUGUUGAUGAUGCGGCAAUGAGAAGACCCUCUCUGUGAGCCCUAUCCCUCUCACUUGGCGUCUCGGUUUUUGUUUCUGGUGCUCCCUGUUUCUCUCCUUCAUUUUGGUGUUCGGUUCGUUGAAAACACCAGCUGCUAAGGUUCUUUAGACCGUUGUGAGAAAGCAUCCAUACUUCCAUAGAAAAAAUCUUGCACUUACCAAAUAGCAGUCUCAAAGUAGAGAGUGCAAGGAAUAUUUGACCAUUGGCCAGAUGUGGUGAUGUGCAUCUUCUGAAUGAACCGUCCGUCCGGUCACCUCUAUUUUAUUUUGUGCUGAUUAUUGGUGAGUUUCAAACUUCCAAUUUGAUAGAUCCUGCAGAAGAAGAGCAUGGAGAACAUCUCCCUCUUCCUAUAUAUCUCAAAAUUGGACUUACAGGUGAUCGAUCCAUGGAGUUGAAGUGUUUGUCAAAUUGCUUGCAAGGGUGAUUAGGAUUUUAUAGGUCACUAUUUGAUUUCUGUCAUAAUAUUUAAACUACUACUGAUCUUCUAAAAUGUUAUUUGUUAUUUCUUUCAGCUAUCAGCUGGUCAGUUUUGAUGUGUUUUCGACAUUACGAGCCUAUCACUUUUGAUGUGUUGGUAUUAGAAUGAAACGGAGUUGCCAUUUCAGUUUGCAUCUACACUCUAAUAUUUAUGCAUUUGAAGUACAUGUCAUUGCACAACUAUUGAUAUAUGAUUCAUAUAGAACUUGAUGAAUUGCAGAGUUAUACUUUCACGAUUUUAUAAGAUACUGAAACCAGUUCGCCUUCUUUUUGAUGAGGAGGUUCUCUUAGAAAAUCGGGACCUGAAGGUUACUAUUUUAAUUCCUAUAAUCAAUGGCUACAAAAUGCUUCUAGCUCUACAAUGAGGCUGCUUUGCACACCGCGUGAACUCUGCUUUGCACUUGCAGCGAUCGCGCCAUUUCUGGAAGCGGCAAGGGCGGUGGGUUGUGCCUGUGCCGGUGCCAUCGCUUGACGCUCCACCUGGAUGGCGCCGGGCUGGGAGCUGCGGGAAAUACGUGUAUUGAGGACCAUGGUGUGCGGAUCAUGUGCCUGAUGCUAGACGCGAUGGUCAGGCACCAGACUGUCAUCGGCAACUACAAACAACAGAACAUGCGAGUCGUCUACAACCUUGACAGAGCCAUGCUAUCCUUUGUGUCGGCGCACUAUAACUGUUCUGAACAAAGGAAGAACUUGUAGUAUUGAUCACAUGAAAUAUGCCAAUGUGGCAGUGGCACUGAACUGAAGCAACGAUUUCUUUGAAUGAAAUGUGAACUGGAAUGUAGAGCUGACAAAAAGGGUU
This is an RNA transcript of Triticum dicoccoides, 1431 nucleotides long. RefSeq lists it as uncharacterized. The transcript is spliced from 2 exons. Lineage: Eukaryota; Viridiplantae; Streptophyta; Magnoliopsida; Poales; Poaceae. The record is from RefSeq and is a predicted model, not a curated record.